CCUACGGGAGGCAGCAGUGGGGAAUAUUGCACAAUGGGGGAAACCCUGAUGCAGCGACGCCGCGUGAGUGAAGAAGUAAUUCGUUAUGUAAAGCUCUAUCAGCAGGGACGAAGAAUGACGGUACCUGAAGAAUAAGCUCCGGCUAACUACGUGCCAGCAGCCGCGGUAAUACGUAGGGAGCAAGCGUUAUCCGGAUUUACUGGGUGUAAAGGGCGUGUAGGCGGGCCUGCAAGUCAGAAGUGAAAUCUGGGGGCUUAACCCCCAAACUGCUUUUGAAACUGUGGGUCUUGAGUGAUGGAGAGGCAGGCGGAAUUCCCAGUGUAGCGGUGAAAUGCGUAGAUAUUGGGAGGAACACCAGUGGCGAAGGCGGCCUGCUGGACAUUAACUGACGCUGAGGCGCGAAAGCGUGGGGAGCAAACAGGAUUAGAUACCCCGGUAGUC
Molecule: ribosomal RNA, 441 nt
Filed under: uncultured bacterium
Lineage: Bacteria
Description: partial 16S ribosomal RNA
Rfam family: Bacterial small subunit ribosomal RNA
Source: RNAcentral